This 464-nucleotide ribosomal RNA is filed under the name uncultured bacterium. RNAcentral's name for it is "partial 16S ribosomal RNA". It matches the Rfam family "Bacterial small subunit ribosomal RNA", at positions 339 to 795 of the family's 1533-position model. The record is from RNAcentral.
CUACGGGCGGCUGCAGUGGGGAGUAUUGCACAAUGGGCGCAAGCCUGAUGCAGCCAUGCCGCGUGUAUGAAGAAGGCCUUCGGGUUGUAAAGUACUUUCAGCGGGGAGGAAGGGAGUAAAGUUAAUACCUUUGCUCAUUGACGUUACCCGCAGAAGAAGCACCGGCUAACUCCGUGCCAGCAGCCGCGGUAAUACGGAGGGUGCAAGCGUUAAUCGGAAUUACUGGGCGUAAAGCGCACGCAGGCGGUUUGUUAAGUCAGAUGUGAAAUCCCCGGGCUCAACCUGGGAACUGCAUCUGAUACUGGCAAGCUUGAGUCCCGUAGAGGGGGGUAGAAUUCCAGGUGUAGCGGUGAAAUGCGUAGAGAUCUGGAGGAAUACCGGUGGCGAAGGCGGCCCCCUGGACGAAGACUGACGCUCAGGUGCGAAAGCGUGGGGAGCAAACAGGAUUAGAUACCCUCGUAGUC